Molecule: ribosomal RNA, 253 nt
Filed under: uncultured bacterium
Lineage: Bacteria
Description: partial 16S ribosomal RNA
Rfam family: Bacterial small subunit ribosomal RNA
Source: RNAcentral
UACGUAGGGGGCGAGCGUUGUCCGGAAUUACUGGGCGUAAAGCGUGUGUAGGCGGCUUUGCAAGUCGGAUGUGAAAGCCCCGGGCUCAACCCGGGAAGUGCACUCGAUACUGCAGGGCUUGAGUGUGGGAGAGGUUGGUGGAAUUCUCGGUGUAGAGGUGAAAUUCGUAGAUAUCGAGAGGAACACCGGCGGCGAAGGCGGCCAACUGGACCACUACUGACGCUGAGACACGAAAGCGUGGGGAGCAAACAGG